Molecule: ribosomal RNA, 439 nt
Filed under: uncultured bacterium
Lineage: Bacteria
Description: partial 16S ribosomal RNA
Rfam family: Bacterial small subunit ribosomal RNA
Source: RNAcentral
CUACGGGGGGCUCCAGUGGGGAAUAUUGGACAAUGGGCGCAAGCCUGAUCCAGCAAUGCCGCGUGAGUGAAGACGGCCUUAGGGUUGUAAAACUCUUUCGCUAGGGAAGAUAAUGACUGUACCUAGUAAAGAAGUCCCGGCUAACUCCGUGCCAGCAGCCGCGGUAAUACGGAGGGGACUAGCGUUGUUCGGAAUUACUGGGCGUAAAGAGUUCGUAGGCGGACUGACAAGUUAGAGGUGAAAUCCCAGGGCUCAACCCUGGAACUGCCUUUAAAACUGUCAGUCUAGAGACCGGAAGAGGUUAGGGGAAUACCUAGUGUAGAGGUGAAAUUCGUAGAUAUUUGGUGGAACAUCAGUGGCGAAGGCGCCUAACUGGUCCGGUACUGACGCUGAGGAACGAAAGCGUGGGGAGCAAACAGGAUUAGAUACCCUCGUAGUC